This 253-nucleotide ribosomal RNA is filed under the name uncultured bacterium. RNAcentral describes it as "partial 16S ribosomal RNA". It matches the Rfam family "Bacterial small subunit ribosomal RNA", at positions 524 to 776 of the family's 1533-position model. The record is from RNAcentral.
UACGAAUGGGGCAAGCGUUGUUCGGAAUAACUGGGCUUAAAGCGUGCGUAGGCGGCUAUGAAAGUCAGAAGUGAAAUCCCCGGGCUUAACCCGGGAAUUGCUUUUGAAACUCCAUAGCUAGAAUCCGGGAGAGGUUAGCAGAAUUCCCAGUGUAGAGGUGAAAUUCGCAGAUAUUGGGAGGAAUACCAGUGGCGAAGGCGGCUAACUGGACCGGCAUUGACGCUGAGGUACGAAAGCGUGGGUAGCAAACAGG